GACGAACGCUGGCGGCGUGGAUUAGGCAUGCAAGUCGAACGGUAUCAUCCUUUCGGGGGUGAGAGAGUGGCGAACUGGUGAGUAACACGUAGGUUAUCUACCCUCAAGACGGGGACAACCCAGGGAAACUUGGGCUAAUACCGGAUGUGAGCAACUUUUAGUUGUUUGAAAGGUGGCGUAAGCUGUCGCUUGGGGAUGAGCCUGCGUCCUAUUAGUUAGUUGGUGAGGUAACGGCUCACCUAGGCAAUGAUAGGUAGGCGGCCUUAACGGGUGGUCGCCCACACUGGGAUUGAGAUACGGCCAGACUCCUACGGGAGGCAGCAGUCGAGAAUAGUCUACAAUGGUCGGAAGACUGAUAGUGCGACGCCGCGUGAACGAUGAAUCCCCUUGGGGUGUAAAGUUCUUUUAUAUGUGAGCAGUGCUUCUUAUAUUAACAGUAUGGGGAAGAGAUAUUAGCAUAUGAAUAAGCAACGGCUAACUCCGUGCCAGCAGCCGCGGU
RNAcentral lists this ribosomal RNA (499 nucleotides) under uncultured bacterium. Its description in RNAcentral is "bacterial SSU rRNA". It matches the Rfam family "Bacterial small subunit ribosomal RNA", at positions 28 to 521 of the family's 1533-position model. The record is from RNAcentral.